UGAACGCUGGCGGCAGGCCUAACACAUGCAAGUCGAGCGGUAGCACAGAGAGCUUGCUCUCGGGUGACGAGCGGCGGACGGGUGAGUAAUGUCUGGGAAACUGCCUGAUGGAGGGGGAUAACUACUGGAAACGGUAGCUAAUACCGCAUAAUGUCGCAAGACCAAAGUGGGGGACCUUCGGGCCUCAUGCCAUCAGAUGUGCCCAGAUGGGAUUAGCUAGUAGGUGGGGUAACGGCUCACCUAGGCGACGAUCCCUAGCUGGUCUGAGAGGAUGACCAGCCACACUGGAACUGAGACACGGUCCAGACUCCUACGGGAGGCAGCAGUGGGGAAUAUUGCACAAUGGGCGCAAGCCUGAUGCAGCCAUGCCGCGUGUGUGAAGAAGGCCUUCGGGUUGUAAAGCACUUUCAGCGGGGAGGAAGGCGGUAAGGUUAAUAACCUCAUCGAUUGACGUUACCCGCAGAAGAAGCACCGGCUAACUCCGUGCCAGCAGCCGCGGUAAUACGGAGGGUGCAAGCGUUAAUCGGAAUUACUGGGCGUAAAGCGCACGCAGGCGGUCUGUCAAGUCGGAUGUGAAAUCCCCGGGCUCAACCUGGGAACUGCAUUCGAAACUGGCAGGCUAGAGUCUUGUAGAGGGGGGUAGAAUUCCAGGUGUAGCGGUGAAAUGCGUAGAGAUCUGGAGGAAUACCGGUGGCGAAGGCGGCCCCCUGGACAAAGACUGACGCUCAGGUGCGAAAGCGUGGGGAGCAAACAGGAUUAGAUACCCUGGUAGUCCACGCCGUAAACGAUGUCGAUUUGGAGGUUGUGCCCUUGAGGCGUGGCUUCCGGAGCUAACGCGUUAAAUCGACCGCCUGGGGAGUACGGCCGCAAGGUUAAAACUCAAAUGAAUUGACGGGGGCCCGCACAAGCGGUGGAGCAUGUGGUUUAAUUCGAUGCAACGCGAAGAACCUUACCUGGUCUUGACAUCCACAGAACUUUCCAGAGAUGGAUUGGUGCCUUCGGGAACUGUGAGACAGGUGCUGCAUGGCUGUCGUCAGCUCGUGUUGUGAAAUGUUGGGUUAAGUCCCGCAACGAGCGCAACCCUUAUCCUUUGUUGCCAGCGGUCCGGCCGGGAACUCAAAGGAGACUGCCAGUGAUAAACUGGAGGAAGGUGGGGAUGACGUCAAGUCAUCAUGGCCCUUACGACCAGGGCUACACACGUGCUACAAUGGCAUAUACAAAGAGAAGCGACCUCGCGAGAGCAAGCGGACCUCAUAAAGUAUGUCGUAGUCCGGAUUGGAGUCUGCAACUCGACUCCAUGAAGUCGGAAUCGCUAGUAAUCGUAGAUCAGAAUGCUACGGUGAAUACGUUCCCGGGCCUUGUACACACCGCCCGUCACACCAUGGGAGUGGGUUGCAAAAGAAGUAGGUAGCUUAACCUUCGGGAGGGCGCUUACCACUUUGUGAUUCAUGACUGGGGUGAAGUCGUAACAAGGUAACCGUAGGGGAACCUGCGGCUG
Molecule: ribosomal RNA, 1498 nt
Filed under: Klebsiella sp. ok1_1_9_S31
Lineage: Bacteria; Pseudomonadati; Pseudomonadota; Gammaproteobacteria; Enterobacterales; Enterobacteriaceae
Description: 16S ribosomal RNA
Rfam family: Bacterial small subunit ribosomal RNA
Source: RNAcentral